Molecule: ribosomal RNA, 492 nt
Filed under: uncultured bacterium
Lineage: Bacteria
Description: partial 16S ribosomal RNA
Rfam family: Bacterial small subunit ribosomal RNA
Source: RNAcentral
AGUGAACGCUGGCGGUAGGCCUAACACAUGCAAGUCGAACGGCAGCACAGUAAGAGCUUGCUCUUACGGGUGGCGAGUGGCGGACGGGUGAGGAAUACAUCGGAAUCUACUUUUUCGUGGGGGAUAACGUAGGGAAACUUACGCUAAUACCGCAUACGACCUACGGGUGAAAGCAGGGGAUCUUCGGACCUUGCGCGAUUGAAUGAGCCGAUGUCGGAUUAGCUAGUUGGCGGGGUAAAGGCCCACCAAGGCGACGAUCCGUAGCUGGUCUGAGAGGAUGAUCAGCCACACUGGAACUGGGACACGUUCCAGACUCCUACGGGAGGCAGCAGUGGGGAAUAUUGGACAAUGGGCGCAAGCCUGAUCCAGCCAUACCGCGUGGGUGAAGAAGGCCUUCGGGUUGUAAAGCCCUUUUGUUGGGAAAGAAAAGCAGCAGGUUAAUACCCCGCUGUUCUGACGGUACCCAAAGAAUAAGCACCGGCUAACUUCGUG